AUUGAACGCUGGCGGCAGGCCUAACACAUGCAAGUCGAACGAGUGGCGGACGUGUGAGUCAUGUCUGGAAAACUGCCCGAUGGAGGGGGAUAACUCCUGGAACCGGUAGCUAAUACCGCAUAACAUCGAAUGUGCGCAGAUGGGAUUAGCUAGUAGGUGGGGUAACGGCUUACCUAGGCCACGAUCCAUAGCUGGUCUGAGAGGAUGACCAGCCACACUGGAACUGAGACACGGUCCAGACUCCUACGGGAGGCAGCAGUGGGGAAUAUUGCACAAUGGGCGAAAGCCUGAUGGAGCCAUGCCGCGUGUAUGAAGAAGGCCUUCGGGUUGUAAAGUACUGUCAGUGAGGAGGCGUUACUCGCAGAAGAAGCACCGGCUAACUCCGUGCCAGCAGCCGCGGUAAUAC
Molecule: ribosomal RNA, 406 nt
Filed under: uncultured bacterium
Lineage: Bacteria
Description: partial 16S ribosomal RNA
Rfam family: Bacterial small subunit ribosomal RNA
Source: RNAcentral